This 467-nucleotide ribosomal RNA is filed under the name uncultured bacterium. RNAcentral describes it as "partial 16S ribosomal RNA". It matches the Rfam family "Bacterial small subunit ribosomal RNA", at positions 28 to 507 of the family's 1533-position model. The record is from RNAcentral.
GACGAACGCUGGCGGCGUGCUUAACACAUGCAAGUCGAACGGAAAGGCCCCUUUCGGGGGGUACUCGAGUGGCGAACGGGUGAGUAACACGUGAGUAACCUGCCCUUGACAUUGGGAUAACUCUAGGAAACUCGGGCGAAUACCGGGUAGGGGCUCCCGCUGCAUGUGGGGGGUUGGAAAGUUUCGGCGGGUUGGGGUGGAAUCGCGGCUUAUCUCCGUGUUGGGGGGGUGUUGGGGUUCCCAAGCUUUGAGGGGUAUCCGGGCUGGGAGGGUGACCGGGCAAAUUGGGGCUGGAGUACGGGCCAGAAUCCUACGGGGGGGAGCAGGGGGGAAUUAUUGACAAUGGGUGGAAGGCUGAUGGAGCAACGCCGUGUGCGGGAUGACGGCCUUCGGGUUGUAAAACGCCUUCGCUCAUGACGAAGCUUUGUGUGACGGUAGUGGGUAAAGAAGCACCGGCUAACUACGUG